This 433-nucleotide ribosomal RNA is filed under the name uncultured bacterium. RNAcentral's name for it is "partial 16S ribosomal RNA". It matches the Rfam family "Bacterial small subunit ribosomal RNA", at positions 29 to 507 of the family's 1533-position model. The record is from RNAcentral.
AACGAACGCUGGCGGCAUGCCUAACACAUGCAAGUCGAACGAGACCUUCGGGUCUUGUGGCGCACGGGUGCGUAACGCGUGGGGACCUGCCCUUAGGUUCGGAAUAACUCCCCGAAAGGGGUGCUAAUACCGGAUAGUGUCUUCGGACCAAAGAUUUAUCGCCUUUGGAUGGGCCCGCGUUGGAUUAGCUAGUUGGUAGGGUAAAAGCCUACCAAGGCGACGAUCCAUAGCUGGUCUGGGAGGAUGAUCAGCCACACUGGGACUGAGACACGGCCCAGACUCCUACGGGAGGCAGCAGUGGGGAAUAUUGGACAAUGGGCGAAAGCCUGAUCCAGCAAUGCCGCGUGAGUGAUGAAGGCCUUAGGGUUGUAAAGCUCUUUUACCCGGGAUGAUAAUGACAGUACCGGGAGAAUAAGCUCCGGCUAACUCCGUG